GGGAGGCAGCAGUGGGGAAUCUUAGACAAUGGGCGCAAGCCUGAUCUAGCCAUGCCGCGUGAGCGAUGAAGGCCUUAGGGUUGUAAAGCUCUUUCGUUGGGGAAGAUAAUGACGGUCCCCACAGAAUAAGCCCCGGCUAACUCCGUGCCAGCAGCCG
RNAcentral lists this ribosomal RNA (157 nucleotides) under uncultured Rhodobacter sp. RNAcentral describes it as "partial 16S ribosomal RNA". It matches the Rfam family "Bacterial small subunit ribosomal RNA", at positions 343 to 517 of the family's 1533-position model. Lineage: Bacteria; Pseudomonadati; Pseudomonadota; Alphaproteobacteria; Rhodobacterales. The record is from RNAcentral.